RNAcentral lists this small nucleolar RNA (125 nucleotides) under Nannospalax galili (Upper Galilee mountains blind mole rat). Lineage: Eukaryota; Metazoa; Chordata; Mammalia; Rodentia; Spalacidae. The record is from RNAcentral.
UUGGCCCUGAAUCAAGGUCAACAGUUUGCUAAAGCUGUUGGUUUCAAGCUGUUGUCUUUCUGUGGCCUGUUGGCCAUUUCAGAAAUCUGGAAAUGUAGUGGUCAGUUCAUUAGAAAGAAACAUGU